Molecule: ribosomal RNA, 494 nt
Filed under: uncultured bacterium
Lineage: Bacteria
Description: partial 16S ribosomal RNA
Rfam family: Bacterial small subunit ribosomal RNA
Source: RNAcentral
GACGAACGCUGGCGGCGUGCUUAACACAUGCAAGUCGAACGGUGAAGCGCCUUCCUUUUUGGUGGGUGUGGAUGAGUGGCGAACGGGUGAGUAACACGUGAGUAACCUGCCCCCUUCUUCUGGAUAACCGCAUGAAAGUGUGGCUAAUACGGGAUAUUCUGGGUCUGUCGCAUGAUGGGUCUGGGAAAGAUAUUGUUUCGGUGGGGGAUGGGCUCGCGGCCUAUCAGCUUGUUGGUGGGGUGAUGGCCUACCAAGGCGGUGACGGGUAGCCGGCCUGAGAGGGUGGACGGUCACACUGGGAAUGAGACACGGCCCAGACUCCUACGAGAGGCAGCAGUGGGGAAUAUUGCACAAUGGGCGCAAGCCUGAUGCAGCGACGCCGCGUGAGGGAUGGAGGCCUUCGGGUUGUGAACCUCUUUCGCCAGUGAAGCAGGCCUGCCUCGUUUGUGGGUGGGUUGACGGUAGCUGGAUAAGAAGCGCCGGCUAACUACGUG